Molecule: ribosomal RNA, 200 nt
Filed under: uncultured bacterium
Lineage: Bacteria
Description: partial 16S ribosomal RNA
Rfam family: Bacterial small subunit ribosomal RNA
Source: RNAcentral
AUUGAACGCUGGCGGCAGGCCUAACACAUGCAAGUCGAGCGGGGUUUUCAGACCUAGCGGCGGACGGGUGAGUAAUGCGUGGGAAGCUGCCCGAUAGAGGGGGAUACCAGUUGGAAACGACUGUUAAUACCGCAUAAUGUCUACGGACCAAAGUGUGGGACCUUCGGGCCACAUGCUAUCGGAUGCGCCUACGUGGGAUU